CCUACGGGAGGCAGCAGUGAGGAAUAUUGGUCAAUGGACGAGAGUCUGAACCAGCCAAGUAGCGUGAAGGAUGACUGCCCUAUGGGUUGUAAACUUCUUUUAUAUGGGAAUAAAAUGUUCCACGUGUGGGAUUUUGUAUGUACCAUAUGAAUAAGGAUCGGCUAACUCCGGGCCAGCCGCCGCGGUAAUACGGAGGGUCCGAGCGUUAUCCGGAUUUAUUGGGGUUAAAGGGAGCGUAGGUGGAUUGUUAAGUCAGUUGUGAAAGUUUGCGGCUCAACCGUAAAAUUGCAGUUGAAACUGGCAGUCUUGAGUACAGUAGAGGUGGGCGGAAUUCGUGGUGUAGCGGUGAAAUGCGUAGAUAUCACGAAGAACUCCGAUUGCGAAGGCAGCUCACUGGACUGCAACUGACACUGAGGUUCGAAAGUGUGGGUAUCAAACAGGAUUAGAUACCCCUGUAGUC
This 460-nucleotide ribosomal RNA is filed under the name uncultured bacterium. Its description in RNAcentral is "partial 16S ribosomal RNA". It matches the Rfam family "Bacterial small subunit ribosomal RNA", at positions 338 to 795 of the family's 1533-position model. The record is from RNAcentral.